AACGAACGCUGGCGGCAUGCCUAACACAUGCAAGUCGAACGAGACCUUCGGGUCUAGUGGCGCACGGGUGCGUAACGCGUGGGAACCUGCCCUUAGGUUCGGCAUAACUCCCCGAAAGGGGUGCUAAUACCGGAUAAUGUCUUCGGACCAAUGAUUUAUCGCCUUUGGAGGGGCCCGCGUUGGAUUAGCUAGUUGGUAGGGUAAAAGCCUACCAAGGCGACGAUCCAUAGCUGGUCAGCGAGGAUGAUCAGCCACACUGGGACUGAGAAACGGCCCAGACUCCUGGGGAAGGGGGGAGGGGGGAAUAGAGGAAGGUGGGGGAAGUCCAGAACCUCCAAGGCCGGUUGAGGGAUUAAGGGUUGGGGGUGGAAAAGCUUUUUUACCCGGGGUUGUAAUGACGUUACCGGGAAAAUAAGCCCCGGCUAACCCCGG
This 432-nucleotide ribosomal RNA is filed under the name uncultured bacterium. RNAcentral describes it as "partial 16S ribosomal RNA". It matches the Rfam family "Bacterial small subunit ribosomal RNA", at positions 29 to 506 of the family's 1533-position model. The record is from RNAcentral.